This 850-nucleotide ribosomal RNA is filed under the name uncultured bacterium. RNAcentral describes it as "bacterial SSU rRNA". It matches the Rfam family "Bacterial small subunit ribosomal RNA", at positions 38 to 896 of the family's 1533-position model. The record is from RNAcentral.
GGCGGCGUGGAUUAGGCAUGCAAGUCGAGCGAGAAAGUUCCUUCGGGAACUGGACAGCGGCGAAAGGGAGAGUAACGCGUAGAUAUCUACCUCGAGGCCCGGGAUAGCGGCGGGAAACUGCCGGUAAUACCAGAUAACAUCCCCGGAUCAAAGGUGUGAUUCCGCCUCGAGAUGAGUCUGCGUCCUAUUAAUGCUUGUUGGUGUGGUAAUGGCACACCAAGGCGAAGAUGGGUACCGGGUGUGAGAGCAUGGCCCGGCUCACUGGAACUGAGACACUGCCCAGACACCUACGGGUGGCUGCAGUCGAGAAUCUUCGGCAAUGGGCGAAAGCCUGACCGAGCGACGCCGCGUGCGGGAUGAAGGCCCUCGGGUUGUAAACCGCUGUCAGUAGGGAGCAAAUCUCUUGGGGUUAUCCCCUUGAGUUGAGCGAUCUUCAGAGGAAGUACGGGCUAAGUUCGUGCCAGCAGCCGCGGUAAGACGAACCGUACGAACGUUAUUCGGAAUCACUGGGCUUAAAGAGUCCGUAGGCGGCCGUGUAGGUGGGAUGUGAAAGCCCUCGUCUCAACCGAGGAAUUGCGUUCCAAACCACAUGGCUUGAGGAGGAUAGAGGUGAGCGGAACUGAUGGUGGAGCGGUGAAAUGCGUUGAUAUCAUCAGGAACACCAGAGGCGAAGGCGGCUCACUGGGUCCUUUCUGACGCUGAGGGACGAAAGCUAGGGGAGCAAACGGGAUUAGAUACCCCGGUAGUCCUAGCUGUAAACGAUGAGCACUAGAUCGAGGGGACUUCCACAUCUUCUCGGUCGUAGCGAAAGUGUUAAGUGCUCCGCCUGGGGAGUAUGGUCGCAAGGCUG